Non-coding RNA from Pelodiscus sinensis (Chinese soft-shelled turtle), 979 nucleotides. The record is from RefSeq and is a predicted model, not a curated record. Lineage: Eukaryota; Metazoa; Chordata; Testudines; Trionychidae.
AGGAAGGAGGGGGAUGAGCAGGCAGCCAAGGACAGCCAUGGAAGGAGGGAAGCAGAGAAAAAUGCUGCAUGCUCGGUCUCUGUCCAGGAGUAAAGACAAGUGUUGAGGCUGAGUAGAAUGUACUCAACUCUUGCAAAGGGGAUAGAGGAUAAAAUUUAGGACCAGUAAGACCCCAAUGGCUUGUGUUGACAGGUUGCUGGGGACACAUAGGCACAAGGCAAUGACUGGAACCACAGGACACUGGUGAAGACACACAUGAACUCAAGAUACCACACGCACUGCAGGUCAUAGAAUGCAGCACAGGUACACAGGCAUCCCUGCCAGGGUCUUGUUAUGGACAAUGCAAAUUCUGGAGAAGUAGGCCAAGAAUCAAAUAUAUUUUCACAUCAGCCUCUUUUGAUCUUCCUAAGGAUUAACCCAUCACCAUCACACAGACACACAUGCAGACAGACAUCAAAACCAAAAGAAGCAGGACUAAUUAAUAAGAUGUACAACAAAUCUUGAUAAAAUGUACUCAGAUUUCUUCCUUGCUUGAGAUAAUAUCUAUUAUCAGAUAUAGAGCAUACAAACUGAUCCGGUGGAACGCCAAAUUAUAACAUAAAAAAUGACACAGAUUUAUGCAAGAAUGAUGACUGCAAAGCACAUUGCAUCAGUACUAUAAGAAGUUGAAAAUUGCUGCUGUUGUAGAUGUCAUAGGCGUGUUAUUUUCUUUGGUAUGUGUACAGGAUAUGCUGUCAGGCUUUUAUCAUGCAAACUAUUUUUAUGAGCUUUACCUCUCUCUCUUCCUGCUAAAUAUAGAAGAUCACUGCAUCUGACUGUUAUUAAGUGUGCUUAAAAUAUUCCUUAACAAACUUGGUUGAUUUACACUUUGAUAUAAAACAUUGGUUGUUUUCCUGUCUCGCAGGAAUGGAUAAUGCAAUAAAUAUAAUACAUUACAGAUUGUUAGGCAUUUUAAGAUCUACUGGUAGAAAAUGCUAUA